UCACUGAAAUCUUUUGAAAAUGUAAUGUUGUUGUGUUUUCCAUCCAAACAAACUGCAGCUGCUCUGUGUGUUUAUUGUGCAGUCUCGCCCUCCACAGUAUACUGUUGCGCUGUUGGCCCAAUGUCGCAGCGUCAAUGCAUGUGGCGCUUUCGUUAGUAAUAUGUGUGUUUAACUUUUUCCAGCUCUGCGCAGACCGAUCACCUUAUGACAAAACGCAUACGGCAUUAGAAUAGCAUUUCUAAAGCAUACAGGGCAGUCAGUUCACAAAUAGCUCUCACUGUGCUUUGAUGUCAUACGCCGUUCCGUCUGCGAUCAAACAUCUGACUGGCACGCACGAGGUGUACGAGUUUUCACCGGUGUCCUCUCGCGCCACAGGCGGGAAUUCAAAAUAACGGAUGGCAACAACCUCUCGACUGUCCCAUUGGAGAAUUUUCAGUAUUUUCCAGUUGAGUAGACAAAAAAAGGACACCCAAGGCCAACAGACCCAGCUCCAGCCCGCCCUGAUGCUCAUCCUUGCACUGCCUGGGACACCUAAGGCCAACAGGCGCAGCUCCUGUUCUCUUUUUGCCAUAAAUACAUAUCUACUUUAGCAAUACAAAAUUGUGAAAUGCACUAUAGAAAUUAUUUUGACUUAGGAUCCUCACACCACCUGGUAAUAGCAGG
Triplophysa rosa is the source of this 663-nucleotide long non-coding RNA. RefSeq lists it as uncharacterized. The transcript has 3 exons. The record is from RefSeq and is a predicted model, not a curated record. NCBI's taxonomy places the organism in Eukaryota, Metazoa, Chordata, Actinopteri, Cypriniformes, Nemacheilidae.